GUAUAAAUGCGUGUGCAGGCUGCCUCAUAGACGAGUACUACCAGCACUUUGAAGAGAUGUAUUUGAAACUUGUAUUGGCUUCUGCUGCUCUCAUGUGUGUAGGUGUUGCCUCAGGUUAUGCGGUAACCGGUUGCUAUACUUGCUCAGCUAGCGACUCGGACCCUCAAGCAUUUAACAACUGUCGUAACUUCGUUAAUAUUACUACAACUGAGGAUUGUAUAAGAAAAAACCAUUUUUGCCUAUUUUAUUAUACAGACGCACCAGCCGGCAAGGUUGAUGUGAGCAGAGGUUGUAAUGAAGAUAGUUGUCGGAGCCUUGCCGAGCAAUACCCAGGAUAUAUGAAACACUGUGCGGGUUGCAGGGGCAGAAAUUGCAAUACUUCAACAUAGAUCAAUAACACCAAGCGAACAUUUUUCAGCAUACUAUACUAUCACAUUCGCAUUUAUUGUUCUUUAUUCUUUGUCAUUAUCCUCUAAACGACAAAAUGCAAUAAUUAUGUUGUAUUUACAAUUGGAAGCCAUUUUUGACACACCUUAUUCCUUCGUCAUCCCCGACUCAACGCCUGACUUUCGUUACCAAUCUUCUUUUUUUCUUUGCGCGUCGCUAUUUAUAUUAAGCCAAUCCGGAACCAACAAAAUUUCUCCUUCUCCUUUAAACGAAUAGUAGACCAACAUCUUUUGUUCCAGAUAUUUACGGACAACAGGUACAGCUUACGAGGCUGUAACUGUGAGACUUUUUAUGGUAGUUUGGGAUACUAUAGAAAUUACCUUUGCAAUAGGUACACGGAAAAUGAAUAAAAUUGUACAAAAUUAGAUAAAGUGGUCACGAUAAUAGCAAUUGAGGUAAAUGAGGGUCGUUAGGUAUAUAAAAUAUGAAGGUUUUCCCAGUAGUGUAAAUUGACUGCGACCAUCUACCGUGUGACUAGCAAGAUGAAGGUCGCAAUCUCGUUUCUAUUUAUUCUAAUCGGCGUGCUCCACGACGUCGAGGGCGGCGAAGCUAAGAAAUCAGGCAUCAACAUCCAAGAUAACCGUCCCAUCGCUGCAGGUGCUGUGAAGAAUCUUCCGGAAGUUUUCUGCCUGUUGUUCAUUUACGUAUGUUACGCAAGUGUGAUCAGAAUGCAACUUGUAUAGAGGUCCAUUAUGACAAAAGGUCUUUCCAAAAUUGUAUGGCGAGGUAGUGCAUUUAUAUUAAUAAAAUAAUUAAUGUUUUCAUUUA
Photinus pyralis (common eastern firefly) is the source of this 1215-nucleotide long non-coding RNA. RefSeq lists it as uncharacterized. The transcript is spliced from 3 exons. NCBI's taxonomy places the organism in Eukaryota, Metazoa, Arthropoda, Insecta, Coleoptera, Lampyridae. The record is from RefSeq and is a predicted model, not a curated record.